AGGUGGUAUAGGAUGGGCAUGCGUCUGAUUAGUUAGUUGGCGGGGUAAUGGCCCACCAAGACGAUGAUCAGUAGGGGUUCUGAGAGGAAGAUCCCCCACACUGGCACUGAGAUACGGGCCAGACUCCUACGGGAGGCAGCAGUAGGGAAUAUUGGUCAAUGGAUGCAAGUCUGAACCCAGCCAUGCCGCGUGCAGGAAGAAGGCCUUCUGGGUUGUAAACUGCUUUUGCCAGGGGAUAAAAUUUCCAUGCGUGGAAAACUGAAGGUACCUGGUGAAUAAGCCACGGCUAACUACGUG
RNAcentral lists this ribosomal RNA (297 nucleotides) under uncultured bacterium. RNAcentral describes it as "partial 16S ribosomal RNA". It matches the Rfam family "Bacterial small subunit ribosomal RNA", at positions 213 to 507 of the family's 1533-position model. The record is from RNAcentral.